RNAcentral lists this ribosomal RNA (91 nucleotides) under Paenibacillus sp. VT-400. RNAcentral's name for it is "partial 23S ribosomal RNA". It matches the Rfam family "Bacterial large subunit ribosomal RNA", at positions 2836 to 2925 of the family's 2925-position model. The record is from RNAcentral. Lineage: Bacteria; Bacillati; Bacillota; Bacilli; Caryophanales; Paenibacillaceae.
CCUUGAAGACGACGAGGUAGAUAGGCUGGGGGUGGAAGUGCAGCAAUGCAUGGAGCUGACCAGUACUAAUCGGUCGAGGGCUUAUCCAAUA